AGCAGCCGCGGUAAUUCCAGCUCCAAUAGCGUAUAUUAAAGUUGUUGCAGUUAAAAAGCUCGUAGUUGAAUUUCGGGGUCAGUAGGCUGGUCGUGCCACAGGUACGUACUGGUCUCACUGAUUCCUCCUUCCUGAUGAACCGUAAUGCCAUUAAUUUGGUGUUGCGGGGAAACUGGACUGUUACUUUGAAAAAUUGGAGUGUUUAAAGCAGGCUAACGCUUGAAUACAUUAGCAUGGAAUAAUGAAAUAGGACGUUCGAUCCUAUUUUGUUGGUUUCUAGGAUUGACGUAAUGAUUAAUAGGGAUAGUUGGGGGCAUUAGUAUUCAAUUGUCAGAGGUGAAAUUCUUGGAUUUAUUGAAGACUAACUACUGCGAAAGCAUUUGCCAAGGAUGUUUUCAUUAAUCAAGAACGAAAGUUAGGGGAUCGAAGACGAUCAGAUACCGUCGUAGUCUUAACCAUAAACUAUGCCGACUAGGAAUCGGAUGAUGUUUAAUUUUUAAUGACUCA
This 507-nucleotide ribosomal RNA is filed under the name uncultured Glomeraceae. RNAcentral's name for it is "SSU rRNA". It matches the Rfam family "Eukaryotic small subunit ribosomal RNA", at positions 569 to 1078 of the family's 1831-position model. The record is from RNAcentral. Lineage: Eukaryota; Fungi; Glomeromycota; Glomeromycetes; Glomerales; Glomeraceae.